Molecule: long non-coding RNA, 489 nt
Organism: Austrofundulus limnaeus
Lineage: Eukaryota; Metazoa; Chordata; Actinopteri; Cyprinodontiformes; Rivulidae
Exons: 6
Source: RefSeq, a predicted model, not a curated record
CAGGUAUCUUAUGCAAAGCUCAGGAAGCUUUUUUAAAACGACCAAAUGGACUCAGUUGAUUCUGUUUCCUGCACAACCUCUGAUGCAGAAAGUCUGAAGCUUAGAGACAGAAAACAUGAGUCGGCACAUCUGGAUGACUCAGAUUUUACUGGUGGGCUUUUUGUGCAUUUUUCCAACAUGCCUGAAGACCCAAAAUCUGAACACAGGGAAAAAAACAGUUCAAAGAAUUAAGGAGCUGAGAACAUGUUUAACUGCCGGAAACACUGCUGGGAUCAUUGCUGAUAACUUUUAUGGCAUCAUUAACGCAUCCAAAUACGGGUCAAGUAUUUCAGGUGACUGCAUAAUAUUUCUACAGAGAAACUUUAAAAAACAAGAAAAAUUGUGGAAAGAAUGGCCACAAGUGCAAAGGAAUACGACAUUCAUGUUACUUUACAUCCCAAAAUAUCUGGCCCAGGCCAACGUGAACAUUUACGCUCGUGCUGGAAAAAA